This 334-nucleotide unclassified non-coding RNA is filed under the name soil metagenome. RNAcentral describes it as "partial contains 5.8S ribosomal RNA, internal transcribed spacer 2, and large subunit ribosomal RNA". The stretch from base 1 to 120 matches the Rfam family "5.8S ribosomal RNA", at positions 35 to 154 of the family's 154-position model. The record is from RNAcentral.
GAUGAAGAACGUAGCGAAAUGCGAUAAGUAAUGUGAAUUGCAGAAUUCAGUGAAUCAUCGAAUCUUUGAACGCACAUUGCGCCCGCCAGUAUUCUGGCGGGCAUGUCUGUUCGAGCGUCAUUUCAACCAUCAAGCCCCAGGCUUGUGUUGGAGCCCUGCGGCUGCCGCAGCCUCCCAAAACCAGUGGCGGGCUCGCUAUCACACCGAGUGCAGUAGUUUACUCUUCGCUCAGGGCGUGUGGCGGGUGCUAGCCGUAAAACCCCCAACUUCUCAAGGUUGACCUCGGAUCAGGUAGGAAUACCCGCUGAACUUAAGCAUAUCAAUAAGCGGAGGA